Molecule: non-coding RNA, 45 nt
Organism: Schistosoma mansoni
Lineage: Eukaryota; Metazoa; Platyhelminthes; Trematoda; Strigeidida; Schistosomatidae
Source: Rfam
AUCCGGCUGAUGAGUACCAAAUAGGACGAAACGGGCGUCAUAGAU